UUUACGAUGGAGAGUUUGAUCCUGGCUCAGGAUGAACGCUAGCGGCAGGCCUAAUACAUGCAAGGCGAAGGGGCAGCAAUGUCACUGUCGUACGGGUGCGUAACGCGUAUGCAACCUACCUAUCACAGGGGAAUAGCCUUUGGAAACAGGGAUUAAUACCGCAUAAAGCAGGGACUCCGCAUGGAGAUAUUGCUAAAGAUUUAUCGGUGAUAGAUGGGCAUGCGUCUGAUUAGUUAGUUGGCAGGGUAACGGCCUACCAAGACGAUGAUCAGUAGGGGGCGUCAGAGCGUGGUCCCCCACACUGGCACUGAGAUACGGGCCAGACUCCUACGGGAGGCAGCAGUAGGGAAUAUUGGGCAAUGGAUGCAAGUCUGACCCAGCCAUGCCGCGUGCAGGAAGAAGGUCCUCUGGAUUGUAAACUGCUUUUAUCGGGGAAGAAUAGGUUUCUUGCGAGGGACUGUGACGGUACCCGAUGAAUAAGCCACGGCUAACUACGUGCCAGCAGCCGCGGUAAUACGUAGGUGGCAAGCGUUGUCCGGAUUUAUUGGGUUUAAAGGGUGCGUAGGUGGUUUUAUAAGUCAG
Molecule: ribosomal RNA, 582 nt
Filed under: Runella aurantiaca
Lineage: Bacteria; Pseudomonadati; Bacteroidota; Cytophagia; Cytophagales; Spirosomataceae
Description: bacterial SSU rRNA
Rfam family: Bacterial small subunit ribosomal RNA
Source: RNAcentral